Molecule: small nuclear RNA, 119 nt
Filed under: Fukomys damarensis (Damara mole-rat)
Lineage: Eukaryota; Metazoa; Chordata; Mammalia; Rodentia; Bathyergidae
Description: U2 spliceosomal RNA
Rfam family: U2 spliceosomal RNA
About the family: U2 is a small nuclear RNA (snRNA) component of the spliceosome (involved in pre-mRNA splicing). Complementary binding between U2 snRNA (in an area lying towards the 5' end but 3' to hairpin I) and the branchpoint sequence (BPS) of the intron results the bulging out of an unpaired adenosine, on the BPS, which initiates a nucleophilic attack at the intronic 5' splice site, thus starting the first of two transesterification reactions that mediate splicing.
Source: Rfam by way of RNAcentral
GUCGCUUCUUGGCCUUUUGGCUAAGAUCAAGCGUAGAAUCUUGUGGAGAACGGGAAACUGUGGACUCUCAAUUUCCAUAUUUUGAGUUUUUAAACAUAUUUUAAAAUUUUUCACCAAUU